GACGGGGACCCGCACAAGCGGUGGAGCAUGUGGUUUAAUUCGAUGCAACGCGAAAAACCUUACCACUCCUUGACAUGAAGAUUAGAUCCUCCUUAACAGGAGGGCGCAGUUAGGCUGGGUCUUGCACAGGUGCUGCAUGGCUGUCGUCAGCUCGUGUCGUGAGAUGUUGGGUUAAGUCCCGCAACGAGCGUAACCCUCACCCUUAGUUGCCAGCGGGUAAUGCCGGGGACUUUAAGGGAACUGCCAGUGGUAAGCUGGAGGAAGGUGGGGAUGAUGUCAAGUCAGCAUGGCCCUUAUGGGGUGGGCUACACACGUGCUACAAUGGUGACUACA
This 333-nucleotide ribosomal RNA is filed under the name uncultured Anaplasma sp. Its description in RNAcentral is "bacterial SSU rRNA". It matches the Rfam family "Bacterial small subunit ribosomal RNA", at positions 912 to 1241 of the family's 1533-position model. The record is from RNAcentral. Lineage: Bacteria; Pseudomonadati; Pseudomonadota; Alphaproteobacteria; Rickettsiales; Anaplasmataceae.